UAUUCGGGGAGACAGGUGGUGCAUGGUUGUCGUCAGCUCGUGUCGUGAGAUGUUGGGUUAAGUCCCGCAACGAGCGCAACCCUAUUGCUAGUUACCAUCAUUAAGUUGGGGACUCUAGCGAGACUGCCAGUGAUAAACUGGAGGAAGGUGGGGAUGACGUCAAAUCAUCAUGCCCCUUAUGACCUGGGCUACAAACGUGAUACAAUGGCUGGAACAAAGGGAUGCGAAGCAGUGAUGUGGAGCGAAACCCAUAAAAACAGUCUCAGUUCGGAUUGAAGUCUGCAACUCGACUUCAUGAAGUCGGAAUCGCUAGUAAUCGCGGAUCAGAACGCCGCGGUGAAUACGUUCUCGGGGUUU
This 357-nucleotide ribosomal RNA is filed under the name uncultured Acholeplasma sp. RNAcentral describes it as "bacterial SSU rRNA". It matches the Rfam family "Bacterial small subunit ribosomal RNA", at positions 1023 to 1382 of the family's 1533-position model. Lineage: Bacteria; Bacillati; Mycoplasmatota; Mollicutes; Acholeplasmatales; Acholeplasmataceae. The record is from RNAcentral.